CGGAGGGUGCAAGCGUUAUCCGGAUUCACUGGGUUUAAAGGGUGCGUAGGUGGGUAAGUAAGUCAGUGGUGAAAUCUCCGGGCUUAACCCGGAAACUGCCAUUGAUACUAUUUGUCUUGAAUACUGUGGAGGUCAGCGGAAUAUGUCAUGUAGCGGUGAAAUGCUUAGAUAUGACAUAGAACACCAAUUGCGAAGGCAGCUGGCUACACAAAUAUUGACACUGAGGCACGAAAGCGUGGGGAUCAAACAGGAUUAGAUACCCUGGUAGUCCACGCCCUAAACUAUGGAUACUCGACAUUUGCGAUAAACUGCAAGUGUCUGAGCGAAAGCAUUAAGUAUCCCACCUGGGGAGUACGGUCGCAAGAUUA
RNAcentral lists this ribosomal RNA (368 nucleotides) under uncultured organism. RNAcentral's name for it is "bacterial SSU rRNA". It matches the Rfam family "Bacterial small subunit ribosomal RNA", at positions 526 to 896 of the family's 1533-position model. The record is from RNAcentral.